RNAcentral lists this ribosomal RNA (433 nucleotides) under uncultured bacterium. RNAcentral's name for it is "partial 16S ribosomal RNA". It matches the Rfam family "Bacterial small subunit ribosomal RNA", at positions 29 to 507 of the family's 1533-position model. The record is from RNAcentral.
AACGAACGCUGGCGGCAUGCCUAACACAUGCAAGUCGAACGAGACCUUCGGGUCUAGUGGCGCACGGGUGCGUAACGCGUGGGAACCUGCCCUUAGGUUCGGAAUAACUCCCCGAAAGGGGUGCUAAUACCGGAUAAUGUCUUCGGACCAAAGAUUUAUCGCCUUUGGAUGGGCCCGCGUUGGAUUAGCUAGUUGGUAGGGUAAAAGCCUACCAAGGCGACGAUCCAUAGCUGGUCUGAGAGGAUGAUCAGCCACACUGGGACUGAGACACGGCCCAGACUCCUACGGGAGGCAGCAGUAGGUAGUAUUGGACAAUGAGCGAAAGCCUGAUCCAGCAAUGCCGCGUGAGUGAUGAAGGCCUUAGGGUUGUAAAGCUCUUUUUCCCGGGAUGAUAAUGACAGUACCGGGUGAAUAAGCUCCGGCUAACUCCGUG